RNAcentral lists this ribosomal RNA (468 nucleotides) under uncultured bacterium. RNAcentral's name for it is "partial 16S ribosomal RNA". It matches the Rfam family "Bacterial small subunit ribosomal RNA", at positions 28 to 507 of the family's 1533-position model. The record is from RNAcentral.
GACGAACGCUGGCGGCGUGCUUAACACAUGCAAGUCGAACGGAAAGGCCCUGCUUUUGUGGGGUUCUCGAGUGGCGAACGGGUGAGUAACACGUGAGUAACCUGCCCUUGACUUUGGGAUAACUUCAGGAAACUGGGGCUAAUACCGGAUAGGAGCUCCUGCUGCAUGGUGGGGGUUGGAAAGUUUCGGCGGUUGGGGAUGGACUCGCGGCUUAUCAGCUUGUUGGUGGGGUAGUGGCUUACCAAGGCUUUGACGGGUAGCCGGCCUGAGAGGGUGACCGGCCACAUUGGGACUGAGAUACGGCCCAGACUCCUACGGGAGGCAGCAGUGGGGAAUAUUGCACAAUGGGAGGAAGCCUGAUGCAGCAACGCCGCGUGCGGGAUGACGGCCUUCGGGUUGUAAACCGCUUUCGCCUGUGACGAAGCGUGAGUGACGGUAAUGGGUAAAGAAGCACCGGCUAACUACGUG